UACGAAUUGGGCUAGCGUUGCUCGGAAUCACUGGGCGUAAAGGGUGCGUAGGCGGGUCUUUAAGUCAGGGGUGAAAUCCUGGAGCUCAACUCCAGAACUGCCUUUGAUACUGAAGAUCUUGAGUUCGGGAGAGGUGAGUGGAACUGCGAGUGUAGAGGUGAAAUUCGUAGAUAUUCGCAAGAACGCCAGUGGCGAAGGCGGCUCACUGGCCCGAUACUGACGCUGAGGCACGAAAGCGUGGGGAGCAAGCAGG
This 253-nucleotide ribosomal RNA is filed under the name uncultured bacterium. RNAcentral describes it as "partial 16S ribosomal RNA". It matches the Rfam family "Bacterial small subunit ribosomal RNA", at positions 524 to 776 of the family's 1533-position model. The record is from RNAcentral.